UGAUCCUGGCUCAGGAUGAACGCUGACGGCGUGCUUAACACAUGCAAGUCGAACGGAACUACUUUAAUGAGAUUCUUCGGAAGGAUUUGAUUUAGUUUAGUGGCGGACGGGUGAGUAACGCGUGGGUAACCUGCCUCAUACAGGGGGAUAACAGUUGGAAACGGCUGUUAAUACCGCAUAAGCGCACAGUACCGCAUGGUACCGUGUGAAAAACUCCGGUGGUAUGAGAUGGACCCGCGUCUGAUUAGCUGGG
This 253-nucleotide ribosomal RNA is filed under the name uncultured bacterium. RNAcentral's name for it is "partial 16S ribosomal RNA". It matches the Rfam family "Bacterial small subunit ribosomal RNA", at positions 14 to 249 of the family's 1533-position model. The record is from RNAcentral.